Molecule: ribosomal RNA, 497 nt
Filed under: uncultured bacterium
Lineage: Bacteria
Description: partial 16S ribosomal RNA
Rfam family: Bacterial small subunit ribosomal RNA
Source: RNAcentral
GAUGAACGCUGGCAGCGUGCCUAAUACAUGCAAGUCGAGCGAACGGACGAGAAGCUUGCUUCUCUGAUGCUAGCGGCGGACGGGUGAGUAACACGUGGAUAACCUACCUAUAAGACUGGGAUAACUUCGGGAAACCGUAGCUAAUACCGGAUAAUAUUUUGAACCGCAUGGUUCAAAAGUGAAAGACGGUCUUGCUGUCACUUAUAGAUGGAUCCGCGCUGCAUUAGUUAGUUGGUAAGGUAACGGCUUACCAAGGCAACGAUGCAUAGCCGACCUGAGAGGGUGAUCGGCCACACUGGAACUGAGACACGGUCCAGACUCCUACGGGAGGCAGCAGUAGGGAAUCUUCCGCAAUGGGCGAAAGCCUGACGGAGCAACGCCGCGUGAGUGAUGAAGGUCUUCGGAUCGUAAAACUCUGUUAUUAGGGAAGAACAUAUGUGUAAGUAACUGUGCACAUCUUGACGGUACCUAAUCAGAAAGCCACGGCUAACUACGUG